RNAcentral lists this long non-coding RNA (1568 nucleotides) under Olea europaea subsp. europaea. The record is from RNAcentral. Lineage: Eukaryota; Viridiplantae; Streptophyta; Magnoliopsida; Lamiales; Oleaceae.
CUUUGAGGUCGAGCCUUUUAACUAAUUGUGUCAAUAAUAAUUUCAUACAUCAGUUGAGGUCUAUAUAAUUAAACUGUUUAACAUCAUCGCCUAAAAUUUAUUAGGUAUCAAAACUCAACAAAUAUCUAACUUGAUACCUAAUGAACCUGCAAGUAACCAAAAUACAAAGUUAAUACUUGCAUAAUCAACGUAACCAGUAUAAUUGGGAUUACAAACCUUAUCUCAUGUUUCAAACUCGAAAUACAUACUAUACCUGCUCUAUAUACUCACCAAGAAUAAGGUUAAGAAACACCAAAGUAGAAAACAAUUACAGUAAUCAAUCAAGAGCAAAUAAAAAUGCAAUGAAAAUAUAACAUAGGAUAACACGCGGAUCAUUUCAAAACACGUUCACAAAGAACAAUAUUCCAACCCCAAGUUAAUCAAUCAAACGAUCAACACAUAUGUGACAAAAGUAUAAAUGACCCUAGAAAAUGUCUCACCGCACUUAUCAUAUCUCAUUUCAUGUUGUUCACAUCUCGAGAACACAAAUCUCCUCACAUUGCCCACCAUGCUCACUAAACUAAUACUAACCUCAUGUCUAACUAGUAAAUUGCUAUAGAUCUUAAGUCUAUGCGAUAGUCUUCUAUCACUACCUCACUUCUCUCAACUUAAGCUGAUAAUAAGUCUUCACUUAAUAGAAAUAAUAGAAGUGUCUCUUUUACACUCAACUUAUACAGAAUAUUCGUAGAUAAAGAAUUCCAGAUAUUUAAUCAUAUCUCCGCUCGUGAUCCAAAUAUCAUACCUCGUAUCCAUGUCCAUAUCACCAAUGCAUCCUUAAGUGUCUAUAAUCCACAUCACCAAUAAACACACAUUACACUUACUGCUAAUGCAUCACAACCUACUAUAUAUGCAAACAAUUACACUAAGUAGUCAAAUUGCUCUCAAAUUCAUGUAAAUACACAUAUCAAACACAUUGAAAUGCAACAUAUAACCAUGCAACAAAAUUAAUCAAUCAUACACGUACAUUAAGGGUUACAUGCAGAUACACAUACAUUAACUAUAUUUAUUCUCAAUAAACCUCAUUAGGGUCAUCACAUAUCGACAUUUGCAUCACCUCUUAUCUUACCCUUCUACUUAUCCUACUUCUUAGGAUAGACCUUCACAAGAUGUUCAAACUUACGAUUGUUGUAACACCGCUUACCACUAGACUUAUCUCAAUCCUUACCUUUCUUCUUACCAUCUUCAUCACUAGAGUCACUACUGUCUUGAGCCUUGUCCAAACUCAUUUGCUUAAACUUCAUUCUACUUAUCAUCGUAUAUAACUCAUCAUUCCUCUUAUCCUCUUUUUAGCCUUAAUUUACACCUCCUUACUCUUAAAGGAACCUAUGACAAUCUCUAGUGUUUAGAUAUCCCUACCUUAAUUACAUUCUUAACCUCUCUAUAUGAAUCAGGAAUGGAGUUGCAAAAUAAUAGUUUUAUAUAUUCCAGACACAUUUUAAUCACAAUUAACAAUGUAUUGAACAAGCUUGUUAAAAACAUUCAAAUUAUCAUUAAGAUCUUUUGAAUGAUCCACUUUAAAGCUAAAAAAU